This is a long non-coding RNA of Notothenia coriiceps (black rockcod), 573 nucleotides long. RefSeq lists it as uncharacterized. Lineage: Eukaryota; Metazoa; Chordata; Actinopteri; Perciformes; Nototheniidae. The record is from RefSeq and is a predicted model, not a curated record. The transcript has 2 exons.
UUGAACAAUUGGUACUGUGUUUUCAAUUACAGGAGAUGUGGUUGAGAUAUCUGACAGUGAAGAGGAGGAAGUGGUCAUACUUCAUCCAGAAACACAGGACAAAUCUUCUAAAAAUGCAGCAUCCAGUUCCAACCAGAAGGGGGCAGAAACGUCAAAACAAAGACAGAAAAAAUGAAAGCAAGAACUCCUUGAACUGUAUAUAAGGCUCAGACACUGCACCAUGUCUUCAUAAGGAAGACCGAGGUCCUGGAUAAGUAAUUAUAAUGGCUGUGAAUUGGGAUCAAAUAGAUGCUACAGAAACACUUUGAUUCGGUGAUAGUUAAGUUCUUGUUUGUAGCCCUUUGAAUGGAUACAAAAAAACGUACUGCGCUUGUAUAGAACAUGUUGUCAAAAAUGUUUAAACAAUAAAAAUAUGUAAAAGGUCUUUGAUGAUAUUGAAUUCAGAAAAUUCUUCUCACCACAGUUUGAUGUUAAGCAACCAUUUACAUUUGCAAACUGAUGGAUUUUGUGAGCAAAAAAGACAACUGUGUUGUUCAAUGUGAAACAAAAUAAAAAUGGAAAUACAUAAAUAUU